UACGGGGGGGGCAAGCGUUGUUCGGAAUUACUGGGCGUAAAGGGCUCGUAGGCGGCCAACUAAGUCGGAUGUGAAAUCCCCAGGCUCAACCUGGGAACUGCAUCCGAUACUGGAUGGCUUGAAUUCGGGAGAGGGAUGCAGAAUUCCAGGUGUAGCGGUGAAAUGCGUAGAUAUCUGGAGGAACACCUGUGGCGAAGGCGGCCCCCUGGUUGGAUACUGACGCUGAUACGCGAAAGCGUGGGGAGCAAACAGG
This 253-nucleotide ribosomal RNA is filed under the name uncultured bacterium. RNAcentral's name for it is "partial 16S ribosomal RNA". It matches the Rfam family "Bacterial small subunit ribosomal RNA", at positions 524 to 776 of the family's 1533-position model. The record is from RNAcentral.